This is a long non-coding RNA of Megalobrama amblycephala (Wuchang bream), 1641 nucleotides long. RefSeq lists it as uncharacterized. NCBI's taxonomy places the organism in Eukaryota, Metazoa, Chordata, Actinopteri, Cypriniformes, Xenocyprididae. The transcript has 3 exons. The record is from RefSeq and is a predicted model, not a curated record.
GUCGGCUUCCUCCAAAUACGCACGAAACAGCCGGCUCUAAAGUAAGCGUUCACGUAUUGAGCAGACGAUUUUCAUGGACACAUCCACGAUCUCUUUCAUGUUCUGCAUUUUCGCACAUAGAGCUUGUUGGUGUAAGAAAGUCGGGAAAAGCAUCCUCCUCCAUAGCUACUUAAUAAUGAAUCCGUUUGAACGGCUGACCAUCGCAUGUGCUCCGUCAGUUGUGAUUGAAAAGUUUACACAUUGGCAGCAGUGUUUUGUCGACAAAGAUUAUGUAAAACUGUCUGAUUCUAUUCAGUGCAAGUCAUCAGAAUAAGGCAAUUUUAAAGACCUACAUUUAAAGGAGGCACAGAAUAAACGAGAAGGUGGGCUCUUUUGACUUGGACCGGAUAUCCGAACCCAUCAGAAUUGAACUUAUUUUGUCUCCUUCACAAUAAAAGCGGAUGAAAGUAUCUUUUUUCACUAAAGGCGAGAGUAAGGCCAAGACAGAGAGACAGAUUGUUCGGAGCGAUACGACUUGCAGCUGAGAAAUGGCGCGUUUUUGUUUAUGGAGUGCGCUCGAAUAUAUUCCAGACUUUAUUAAAUUGUGAACUCAGUGGGAAGGAGAGAGGACCGAAUAGCACUUUGGAACAAAAGGCCUCAAGUUUCAUGUUAUGUCUUGGUUACAAAUGACACAGCUUAACCCGGCAUAGGAGACAAAGGCAUAAAUUGAAUCUGGCCCCAAACCACAGACUCCUUAAGUGAAGGAAGGACAUAUCUGCAACACUUCUCUGACACCGUGGAGUGAUACUCUUUUAUAUUGUUAUGGUUAGACUGACACCCCUAGCCAAAGAAUGGCAGAAAAUGAAUUUCCACCCUACAACUUUUCCAGCUUUAUCCAGCAGAUUUCAUUCCUGAGUCACGCUCCGAGCUUCAGUGAGUCUGCAACGAGCAGUGUGCGCGUGAACGCUUUGGAAUGUGCAUCAUAAUGAAAACUCAUCAAUAUCCAGAGUUCGCUGUUGCGAUUUAACGUCUUUUUCCGUGCCAAGAAAAGAGCCAUCAAACACAGACAACUCCUUCUGCUUCUAUUGUUAUUCAACCCAUUAAUAAUUCUGUUAUACCUCUGAUCUCCCAUUGAAAUUAAAUAUAUUCCCAGAUGUUUUUCUUGUCAGUUCUACCACUCCUGUCCUGAACAUCUUUGCUAUUGUUUAACUUAUGAGCAGGAAAACCUGCAGCCUUUAAUAGACUAAAGAAAACACAGGGUUGUCAUCAAUCAUUGGCAGUGAUUUGCAGCGCGGCUACACGACAAAGCAACACCUACAAAUUGGCUUUGAAUUGCUAAAUAGUGAAAUCAGUGUUUCGGGGCAGGGCGUCAUUUUUUUUUCCACCAGGAAUGAAUCACUAAAAUGUGACAUUCAUCUUUUUGAUGAGUUUUGCUUUGAUUAAUGAGUGUCUGAGAGUGGAAAGUCCCUAUCAAGCAUGGGGAAGUAGGCAGACGUUUAGAACGCAGCGCUCAUCAGAAAUCAGAAGUCUUUCUGAAAACAGCCUACAUGAUUUCGUUUUUACUUGUCAUGCACAACUUGUCAGCAUGCCCCACAAAAGCAAAAGUUUGUCUAUGGAUUGUUUAUAAAAAAAAAUUUAAAAAAAAAUCAACAGUAAUAUAUA